UGCAGUCGAGCGGUAACGGGUCCAGCUUGCUGGAUGCCGACGAAGCGGCGGACGGGUGAGUAAUGCAUAGGAAUCUGCCCGAUAGUGGGGGAUAACCUGGGGAAACCCAGGCUAAUACCGCAUACGUCCUACGGGAGAAAGCGGGGGCUCUUCGGACCUCGCGCUAUCGGAUGAGCCUAUGUCGGAUUAGCUGGUUGGUGAGGUAACGGCUCACCAAGGCGACGAUCCGUAGCUGGUCUGAGAGGAUGAUCAGCCACACCGGGACUGAGACACGGCCCGGACUCCUACGGGAGGCAGCAGUGGGGAAUAUUGGACAAUGGGCGCAAGCCUGAUCCAGCCAUGCCGCGUGUGUGAAGAAGGCUUUCGGGUUGUAAAGCACUUUCAGUGGGGAAGAAAGCGUGCCGGCCAAUACCCGGUACGGACGACAUCACCCACAGAAGAAGCACCGGCUAACUCCGUGCCAGCAGCCGCGGUAAUACGGAGGGUGCGAGCGUUAAUCGGAAUUACUGGGCGUAAAGCGCGCGUAGGCGGCUGAGUAAGCCGGUUGUGAAAGCCCCGGGCUCAACCUGGGAAUGGCAUCCGGAACUGUUUAGCUAGAGUGCAGGAGAGGAAGGUAGAAUUCCCGGUGUAGCGGUGAAAAUGCGUAGAGAUCGGGAGGAAUACCAGUGGCGAAGGCGGCCUUUCUGGGACUGACACUGACGCUGAGGUGCGAAAGCAUGGGUAGCAAACAGGAUUUAGAUACCCUGGUAGUCCAUGCCGUAAACGAUGUCGACUAGCCGUUGGGUCCCUUGAGGACUUAGUGGCGCAGUUAACGCGAUAAGUCGACCGCCUGGGGAGUACGGCCGCAAGGUUAAAACUCAAAUGAAUUGACGGGGGCCCGCACAAGCGGUGGAGCAUGUGGUUUAAUUCGAUGCAACGCGAGAUCUUUA
RNAcentral lists this ribosomal RNA (929 nucleotides) under Chromohalobacter sp. BDV4-S6_11a. Its description in RNAcentral is "bacterial SSU rRNA". It matches the Rfam family "Bacterial small subunit ribosomal RNA", at positions 56 to 973 of the family's 1533-position model. The record is from RNAcentral. Lineage: Bacteria; Pseudomonadati; Pseudomonadota; Gammaproteobacteria; Oceanospirillales; Halomonadaceae.